This 486-nucleotide ribosomal RNA is filed under the name uncultured bacterium. RNAcentral's name for it is "partial 16S ribosomal RNA". It matches the Rfam family "Bacterial small subunit ribosomal RNA", at positions 29 to 507 of the family's 1533-position model. The record is from RNAcentral.
AUGAACGCUAGCGAUAGGCUUAACACAUGCAAGUCGAGGGGCAGCACAAGGUAGCUUGCUAUCUGGGUGGCGACCGGCGCACGGGUGCGUAACGCGUAUGCAACUUGCCCUAUACAGGAGGAUAACCCGUCGAAAGACGGACUAAUACUGCGUAUGCUCACAACUUGGCAUCAAGUGGUGAGGAAAGAAAUUCGGUAAAGGAUAGGCAUGCGUCCCAUUAGCUUGUUGGUGAGGUAACGGCUCACCAAGGCAACGAUGGGUAGGGGAACUGAGAGGUUUAUCCCCCACACUGGUACUGAGACACGGACCAGACUCCUACGGGAGGCAGCAGUGAGGAAUAUUGGUCAAUGGGCGCGAGCCUGAACCAGCCAAGUCGCGUGAAGGAUGACUGUCUUAUGGAUUGUAAACUUCUUUUAUACGGGAAUAACAAGAGUCACGUGUGACUCCCUGCAUGUACCGUAUGAAUAAGCAUCGGCUAACUCCGUG